UACGUAGGGCGCAAGCGUUGUCCGGAAUUAUUGGGCGUAAAGAGCUCGUAGGCGGCCAGUUGCGUCCGCUGUGAAAUCCCGGGGCUUAACCCCGGGCGUGCAGUGGAUACGGGCUGGCUAGAGGCAGGCAGGGGAGAACGGAAUUCCCGGUGUAGCGGUGAAAUGCGCAGAUAUCGGGAGGAACACCGGUGGCGAAGGCGGUUCUCUGGGCCUGUACUGACGCUGAGGAGCGAAAGCGUGGGGAGCAAACAGG
RNAcentral lists this ribosomal RNA (253 nucleotides) under uncultured bacterium. RNAcentral's name for it is "partial 16S ribosomal RNA". It matches the Rfam family "Bacterial small subunit ribosomal RNA", at positions 524 to 776 of the family's 1533-position model. The record is from RNAcentral.